Molecule: ribosomal RNA, 197 nt
Filed under: Clostridioides difficile
Lineage: Bacteria; Bacillati; Bacillota; Clostridia; Peptostreptococcales; Peptostreptococcaceae
Description: partial 23S ribosomal RNA
Rfam family: Bacterial large subunit ribosomal RNA
Source: RNAcentral
CUGCCAAGGGCAUGGCUCGGUAGCUAUGUACGGAAUGGAUAAGCGCUGAAAGCAUCUAAGCGCGAAGCCAACUUCAAGAUAAGAUUUCCCACCGCAAGGGUAAGACCCCAGAAAGACUAACUGGUUGAUAGGUCGAAGGUGUAAGGGCAGCAAUGUAUUUAGCUUAUCGAUACUAAUAGGUCGAGGACUUGACCAAU